This 492-nucleotide ribosomal RNA is filed under the name uncultured bacterium. RNAcentral describes it as "partial 16S ribosomal RNA". It matches the Rfam family "Bacterial small subunit ribosomal RNA", at positions 29 to 507 of the family's 1533-position model. The record is from RNAcentral.
AGUGAACGCUGGUGGUAGGCCUAACACAUGCAAGUCGAACGGCGGCACAGUAAGAGCUUGCUCUUACGGGUGGCGAGUGGCGGACGGGUGAGGAAUACAUCGGAAUCUACUUUUUCGUGGGGGAUAACGUAGGGAAACUUACGCUAAUACCGCAUACGACCUACGGGUGAAAGCAGGGGAUCUUCGGACCUUGCGCGAUUGAAUGAGCCGAUGUCGGAUUAGCUAGUUGGCGGGGUAAAGGCCCACCAAGGCGACGAUCCGUAGCUGGUCUGGGAGGAUGAUCAGCCACACUGGAACUGAGACACGGUCCAGACUCCUACGGGAGGCAGCAGUGGGGAAUAUUGGACAAUGGGCGCAAGCCUGAUCCAGCCAUACCGCGUGGGUGAAGAAGGCCUUCGGGUUGUAAAGCCCUUUUGUUGGGAAAGAAAAGCAGCAGGUUAAUACCCCGCUGUUCUGACGGUACCCAAAGAAUAAGCACCGGCUAACUUCGUG